Molecule: unclassified non-coding RNA, 404 nt
Filed under: soil metagenome
Description: partial contains 5.8S ribosomal RNA, internal transcribed spacer 2, and large subunit ribosomal RNA
Rfam family: 5.8S ribosomal RNA (bases 1-122)
Source: RNAcentral
GAUGAAGAACGUAGCAAAAUGCGAUACUUGGUGUGAAUUGCAGAAUCCCGUGAACCAUCGAGUUUUUGAACGCAAGUUGCGCCCGAAGCCAUUAUGCCGAGGGCACGUCUGCCUGGGCGUCACGCAUCGCGUCGCCCCCCACAAUUCUCCGUAAAGGGAACGUGUGUUUUGGGGGCGGAUAUUGGUCUCCCGUGCUCAUGGCGUGGUUGGCCGAAAUAGGAGUCCUUUCGAUGGACGCACGAACUAGUGGUGGUCGUAAAAACCCUCGUCUUUUGUUUCGUGCUGUUGCUCGCAAGGUAAACUCUUUAAAAACCCCAAUGUGUCGUCUCUUGACGACGCUUCGACCGCGACCCCAGGUCAGGCGGGACUACCCGCUGAGUUUAAGCAUAUCAAUAAGCGGAGGA